Non-coding RNA from Schistosoma rodhaini, 45 nucleotides. Lineage: Eukaryota; Metazoa; Platyhelminthes; Trematoda; Strigeidida; Schistosomatidae. The record is from Rfam.
AUCUGUCUGAUGAGUCCCAGAUAGAAGGAAACGAGCGUAUCAGAU